RNAcentral lists this ribosomal RNA (592 nucleotides) under Micrococcus sp. 9b-CH10. RNAcentral's name for it is "SSU rRNA". It matches the Rfam family "Bacterial small subunit ribosomal RNA", at positions 555 to 1144 of the family's 1533-position model. The record is from RNAcentral. Lineage: Bacteria; Bacillati; Actinomycetota; Actinomycetes; Micrococcales; Micrococcaceae.
UGGGCGUAAAGAGCUCGUAGGCGGUUUGUCGCGUCUGUCGUGAAAGUCCGGCGCUUAACCCCGGAUCUGCGGUGGGUACGGGCAGACUAGAGUGCANUAGGGGAGACUGGAAUUCCUGGUGUAGCGGUGGAAUGCGCAGAUAUCAGGAGGAACACCGAUGGCGAAGGCAGGUCUCUGGGCUGUAACUGACGCUGAGGAGCGAAAGCAUGGGGAGCGAACAGGAUUAGAUACCCUGGUAGUCCAUGCCGUAAACGUUGGGCACUAGGUGUGGGGACCAUUCCACGGUUUCCGCGCCGCAGCUAACGCAUUAAGUGCCCCGCCUGGGGAGUACGGCCGCAAGGCUAAAACUCAAAGGAAUUGACGGGGGCCCGCACAAGCGGCGGAGCAUGCGGAUUAAUUCGAUGCAACGCGAAGAACCUUACCAAGGCUUGACAUGUUCUCGAUCGCCGUANAGAUACGGUUUCCCCUUUGGGGCGGGUUCACAGGUGGUGCAUGGUUGUCGUCAGCUCGUGUCNUGAGAUGUUGGGUUAAGUCCCGCAACGAGCGCAACCCUCGUUCCAUGUUGCCAGCACGUCAUGGUGGGGACUCAUGG